UACGUAGGGUGCGAGCGUUAAUCGGAAUUACUGGGCGUAAAGGGUGUGCAGGCGGCUGAGUAAGACAGAUGUGAAAUCCCCGGGCUUAACCUGGGAACCGCAUAUGUGACUGCUUGGCUAGAGUGCGUCAGAGGGAGGUGGAAUUCCACGUGUAGCAGUGAAAUGCGUAGAUAUGUGGAAGAACACCAGCGGCGAAGGCGAUUUACUGGACUGUAACUGACACUGAGGCACGAAAGCGUGGGGAGCAAACAGG
RNAcentral lists this ribosomal RNA (253 nucleotides) under uncultured Sutterella sp. Its description in RNAcentral is "partial 16S ribosomal RNA". It matches the Rfam family "Bacterial small subunit ribosomal RNA", at positions 524 to 776 of the family's 1533-position model. The record is from RNAcentral. Lineage: Bacteria; Pseudomonadati; Pseudomonadota; Betaproteobacteria; Burkholderiales; Sutterellaceae.